CUCCUAAAAGAUGGAGUUGCCUUCGUACUGGCAGCUUUAAGUUGACGUUUAUCGUUUAAUUGAAUUAAAGCAAAUUUAGAUCAAUUUUCAAUUUUGAUUUGUGUCCACAAGCAACCAACAUCACACUAGAACCCAACUCUGAACAUGGAAACAUAAAAUGUCGCAAACUAACACGGACUCGAAGGAAGAAACUAAAUUUUUAUAAAUCUUAUUCAAUUUUUUACAAGCUUGGCUUCACACACAAGGACAAUUCACAUGUUUUGCAGUUUGUUUUCAUUCAUUUCUUUAAUUUUCCAUUUUUCCUAAUUUAAUUAUCUUCGUCAUUACUUAAAUCCCAUAAUUUAAAUCCCAUAUUUCCUCACCGUAUUGUGCCUCUUUACAAUUUAUAAACAAGUGAAAUCCAGUGAACUGUCAUCUUCUUUCAUGUGUUUCACUUUUUCAUUUCAUAAUUUUUCGGUUCUUUAGUUAACUGUUUAUUGAAAUUAAUGGCAAAAUCACCUCAAACUAACUUAAUAUCAAAUAUAAUGUGUCAUAAAUGAAACAGUUAAUCAACAUCACCACGCGUUCCUGAAUAGCAGUUACUAACUGAAACAGAAUGAAAAAAAGGAUUAUUUUCUAUUCCUGGUAUCAAUUUGGUUUUCAAACAUUUUUCAGGUUCAUCAUAAUAAUGGAUACAAAUGUGAAUCAAAAACUUGCUCACCUUCCCAAAAAUAUAUCAAUACAAUGAUAACCAUCUUGCCAAGUAUAAACAUCCUAAACUGAAAGUACAAAUUAAUAGAUUCACUUUAAUUCAGGUAUCACGACAAUCAUGGUACAAGCAGUUAUCACUUUUAAUUUCCGUAGGUUAUAAUUCAUCGAUCAGGUGUAAACUAAUUGUCUAAUUAAUGCCCAACCAUCUAACCUUUCCUUUCUCAAGAAGUACCUGUUGUUGCACUGGUAAACACCAUCAAUCUCAUCGAUAUCUGCACAGCCAAUUUCUCGGUAAAUUGUGAUUCCCUCAGCAAAUAAUUGAUUAGAUAAUGAAGCCUAUUAAAUCCCAGAUUUCCUAUUAAUUAUUCAGUAGAGGAUAAAAUGGAUCUUGAUACACAAAUAGUGGUUACAAAGUAAAUAAUGUGUAUUGGGUUUGUAAGCAACUGGAUGCAUCUCAAUCACAUGUUUCAACCUUUUUAUUGGUGGACUUGAUUUUAUUUUUUAGGUUUUUCCUUAAGUUAAUUGUUACCUGUUAACUGACACUAACAGACCAGCUUUAUAUAAAUGAUUAAAAUGGUUACUACAUUUGUUUUGCUUGUGUAUUACAAGACAAUUUGAUUUAUAUCAGAUGUUGCCAACAAUUAUUAAUAUCAUUACAUUAUCAUUUUUAACAGCUUUUAUUGUUUAUACACGAAACAAACUGAAGACCAAUUUAAAGUGGCAAAAUGAAAAUAAAGAUAAUCACUAUUAAAACCCGUUAAA
Molecule: non-coding RNA, 1452 nt
Organism: Tetranychus urticae (two-spotted spider mite)
Lineage: Eukaryota; Metazoa; Arthropoda; Arachnida; Trombidiformes; Tetranychidae
Source: RefSeq, a predicted model, not a curated record